RNAcentral lists this ribosomal RNA (246 nucleotides) under Enterobacter sp. UCD-UG_FMILLET. Its description in RNAcentral is "partial 16S ribosomal RNA". The stretch from base 1 to 199 matches the Rfam family "Bacterial small subunit ribosomal RNA", at positions 1335 to 1533 of the family's 1533-position model. Lineage: Bacteria; Pseudomonadati; Pseudomonadota; Gammaproteobacteria; Enterobacterales; Enterobacteriaceae. The record is from RNAcentral.
CUAGUAAUCGUAGAUCAGAAUGCUACGGUGAAUACGUUCCCGGGCCUUGUACACACCGCCCGUCACACCAUGGGAGUGGGUUGCAAAAGAAGUAGGUAGCUUAACCUUCGGGAGGGCGCUUACCACUUUGUGAUUCAUGACUGGGGUGAAGUCGUAACAAGGUAACCGUAGGGGAACCUGCGGUUGGAUCACCUCCUUACCUUAAAGAACCUGCCUUUGUAGUGCUCACACAGAUUGUCUGAUGAA